AGAAUUUUCUCUCUGGAGACAGCAGUUAUCUGUUUUUUUCACAGAUCCAGUACAGCAUGGGCAUCAGCUGUGUCUGCUUUCCCACAAAACCCUGUUAAUGUGCCUUAAACCUGGUGUGAAGGGAAUCACAGUGAUAAGAGUAGCUCACUUGUCAUGUCACUAAAUCUUUUCUCUCAGUCUGCU
Molecule: small RNA, 183 nt
Filed under: Calidris pugnax (ruff)
Lineage: Eukaryota; Metazoa; Chordata; Aves; Charadriiformes; Scolopacidae
Description: TUC338 (ENSCPUG00000014945.1)
Source: RNAcentral